AUAGAACGCUGGCGGCAUGCCUUACACAUGCAAGUCGAACGGCAGCACGGGAGCAAUCCUGGUGGCGAGUGGCGAACGGGUGAGUAAAGUAUCGGAACGUGCCCAGUCGUGGGGGAUAACGUAGCGAAAGUUACGCUAAUACCGCAUACGAUCUAUGGAUGAAAGCGGGGGAGCGCAAGACCUCGCGCGAUUGGAGCGGCCGAUAUCAGAUUAGGUAGUUGGUGGGGUAAAGGCUCACCAAGCCGACAAUCUGUAGCUGGUGUAGGGGAACGACCAGCCACACUGGGACGGAGACACGGCGGAGACGCCUACGGGAGGCAGCAGUGGGGAAUUUGGGGCAAUGGGCGGAAGCCUGAUGCAGCCAUGCCGCGUGCAGGAGGAAGGCCUUCGGGUUGUAAACUGCUUUUGUACGGAACGAAAAGGUUUGGCCUAAUAAGCUGAGCUCAUGACGGUACCGUAAGAAUAAGCACCGGCUAACUACGUGCCAGCCGCCGCUGUAA
RNAcentral lists this ribosomal RNA (500 nucleotides) under uncultured bacterium. RNAcentral's name for it is "partial 16S ribosomal RNA". It matches the Rfam family "Bacterial small subunit ribosomal RNA", at positions 31 to 523 of the family's 1533-position model. The record is from RNAcentral.